RNAcentral lists this ribosomal RNA (480 nucleotides) under uncultured bacterium. RNAcentral describes it as "partial 16S ribosomal RNA". It matches the Rfam family "Bacterial small subunit ribosomal RNA", at positions 28 to 523 of the family's 1533-position model. The record is from RNAcentral.
GACGAACGCUGGCGGCGUGCCUAACACAUGCAAGUCGAGCGAAUGAAGUUCCUUCGGGAAUGGAUUUAGCGGCGGACGGGUGAGUAACACGUGGGCAACCUGCCUCAUAGAGGGGAAUAGCCUUCCGAAAGGGAGAUUAAUACCGCAUAAGAUUGUAGUACCGCAUGAUACAGCAAUUAAAGGAGUAAUCCGCUAUGAGAUGGGCCCGCGGCGCAUUAGCUAGUUGGUGAGGUAACGGCUCACCAAGGCGACGAUGCGUAGCCGACCUGAGAGGGUGAUCGGCCACAUUGGGACUGAGACACGGCCCAGACUCCUACGGGAGGCAGCAGUGGGGAAUAUUGCACAAUGGGGGAAACCCUGAUGCAGCAACGCCGCGUGAGUGAUGACGGCCUUCGGGUUGUAAAGCUCUGUCUUCAGGGACGAUAAUGACGGUACCUGAGGAGGAAGCCACGGCUAACUACGUGCCAGCCGCCGCAGUAA